This 2301-nucleotide ribosomal RNA is filed under the name Triticum aestivum (bread wheat). RNAcentral's name for it is "partial small subunit ribosomal RNA". Lineage: Eukaryota; Viridiplantae; Streptophyta; Magnoliopsida; Poales; Poaceae. The record is from RNAcentral.
AUGAGUAUCCUAUGUUGGAACUGCCGCGGUGCGGGCAAAGCCGCGACAGUUCGGGAGCUUCGCGAGUUAGCGAGGAAAUUUGCCCCUACCCUACUUUGUAUCGUAGAAACACAGCUGGAUAGAGCAAGGGUAGAGAGUUUGGCUAGUAGUCUUGGUUUUGAUAAAGCUUAUGCUGUUAGUAGUCAGGGUCGGAGUGGUGGACUCGGAAUUUUCUGGAAUAAUCCAAUAAAUAUAGAGAUUUUGGGCUACUCAGUUUAUCACAUUGAUUGUUCUCUCACAGAUCUAGGUCAGGACCCAUGGAGGGCCACUGUUUUUUAUGGAGAGGCCCAAACCAGUUUGAGACAUCAUACUUGGGACAUAAUGAAGGGGAUAGCUACUUUAAGCGAUCUACCUUGGGUCUGCAUAGGCGAUUUUAAUGAAGUGCUGCGUCCAGAAGAACAAGAAGGCAUUGGAGAGAGGAGUAAUGCACAAAUCCAAGGUUUUAGGGAGGCGGUGGACAUUUGCAUGUUGGCGGAUUUGGGCUAUCAAGGUAACUUUUGGACGUUUGAAAAGAAGGUCUCGGGAGGGAGCUACACCAGAGUGCGCCUAGAUAGAGCGCUUGCGACGGGUGCAUGGGCGCUGAAGUUUCCCACAGCCACGGUUAUCCAUCUUACGGCUACGACUUCGGUCCACGCCCCGAUCCUCUUGAAGACUGCGGAUGGUGAAAGUCGCCCACCGGCGAAACACCCCUUCAGGUAUGAGGUUAUGUGGGAGAUGCAUGAAACGUGGCAAGAUACACUCUCGCGGUGCUGGAGCGAGGGACAACCAACAUCGAGCCUGGAAGAGUUGCAAGCAAAGUUGCGGACUAUAUCUGACAGUCUUGGAAAUUGGAAUAAGAACACUUUUGGAAGCGUCCGCAAAGAAAUAAAGAACCUGCUGGCCGAGCUAGAACAACUGAGAGGGGACCCAAGGAGGAUCGGACCAUCACAUGUAGAACUUAAAAUCAAUGAAAAGCUCGUUGAGUUUUACCAUCGGGAAGAACUGAUGUGGCGUCAAAGAUCUAGGCUCGAAUGGCUUGCAUCAGGAGACAAAAACACAAUUUUUUUUCAUAUGAGGGCUUCUAUGAGGAGAAAGAAGAACAUGAUUAAAGCCCUAGAGAAUGCUCUUGGAGUGAAUGUUAGCGAUCCGGCUGAACUAAGAACACUCGUGACUGAUUUUUACAAGUCUCUAUACACAUCUGCGGGGGUAACUAAUUUGGACCAAGUUCUCCAACAUGUUCCUGUAAGGGUCACCCAAAGCAUGAACGAGGCGCUGGUUGCCCCGUAUACCCGGGAGGAAGUUAAAACGGCACUCUUUCAGAUGGCCUCAACUAAGGCGCCGGGGCCCGAUGGCUUCCCGGCCCAGUUCUAUCAGCGGCAUUGGGAUAUCUGUGGAGAAGAGGUCACGAGAGCAGUCCUGAGAAUUGUAAGAGGGGAGGAAAGUGCAGAAUGUGUUAAUGACACAGUACUAGUGUUAAUUCCAAAGGUUAUGAACCCAACCCUCUUAUCUCAGUUUCGCCCCAUUAGCUUAUGCAAUGUCAUUUACAAGAUUGCGUCCAAGGUUAUAGCAAACAGGUUGAAAGUAAUCUUGCCAGAUAUCAUCUCAGCGGAGCAAUCAGCUUUUGUCCCGGGCCGUCUCAUCACAGAUAAUAUUAUUUGUGCAUACGAGUGCUUGCAUUUCAUGAAGAGGAGUAAGGCCAAAUCAAAUAGUCAUUGUGCACUCAAGCUUGACAUGAUGAAAGCAUAUGACAAGCUAGAAUGGGCUUAUCUGCGAGCGAUUAUGGUCAAGCUUGGUUUUAUGCAGCAGUGGGUGGACAUUAUAAUGGGUAUGAUCAGUUCAGUUUCUUUCUCAGUUUCUUUUAAUGGAGAAAAGCUAGAACUUUUUACACCAUCAUGUGGUAUUCGACAGGGAGAUCCGAUUUCCCCUUAUCUAUUUUUGAUUGUAGCAGAGGGCCUUUCGUGCCUCCUAAAACACAGUUCUCAGUCGUCUUUGCUCAGUGGGAUUAAGGUGGCUCCGACAGCUCCGGUUGUGAACCAUCUCGUAUUUGCGGAUGAUAGCCUGCUGCUUUUCAAGGCUAGUAAUGAGGGUGCGACGGCGGUGUCAAACCUAUUGAAUACCUAUUGUGAUGCAUCUGGUCAGAGAGUCAAUCAUAGCAAGUCCUCGAUUUUUUUCAGCAAGGGGUGCCCACAACAGAGGAGAGAAAGCAUUAAGCAUAUCCUUAAUGUUCAGAAUGAGACCCUGAGCGAACGCUAUUUGGGAAUGCCAACAGAUGUUGGUCAAUAA